Molecule: non-coding RNA, 110 nt
Filed under: Ixodes ricinus (castor bean tick)
Lineage: Eukaryota; Metazoa; Arthropoda; Arachnida; Ixodida; Ixodidae
Source: RNAcentral
CAUCCUCAUCCGCAGCGUCCUGGCCAGCUGGAUCGAUCGUUGGUUGAUCGUGGAAGCGCUUCAGUUGAUGUGCAGUUGCUCUCCGGGAUUCUGUUCGAUUUUGAGGGUUG